This 1544-nucleotide ribosomal RNA is filed under the name human gut metagenome. RNAcentral's name for it is "bacterial LSU rRNA". It matches the Rfam family "Bacterial large subunit ribosomal RNA", at positions 933 to 2495 of the family's 2925-position model. The record is from RNAcentral.
GGGGUACUGAGCAUAAUCAAACUGCGAAUGUCACGCCAACAUGCUCGGCAGUCAGACAGCGGGUGAUAAGGUCCGUUGUCAAGAGGGAAACAGCCCAGACCAUCAGCUAAGGUCCCAAAAUGUAUGCUAAGUGGAAAAGGAUGUGGAGAUGUACAGACAACUAGGAGGUUGGCUCAGAAGCAGCCAUCCUUUAAAGAGUGCGUAACAGCUCACUAGUCGAAUGACUCUGCGCCGAUAAUUUACCGGGGCUAAGCAUACUACCGAAGCUAUGGAUCCCAAGGGAUGGUAGGGGAGCGUUCCAUGAACGGAGAAGUACGACCGAAAGGACGUGUGGAGAUCAUGGAAGAGAGAAUGCCGGUGUGAGUAGCGGAACGUGGGUGAGAAUCCCACGCACCGAAAACCCAAGGUUUCCAGAGGAAGGUUCGUCCGCUCUGGGUAAGUCGGGACCUAAGGCGAGGCCGAAAGGCGUAGUCGAUGGACAACAGGUAGAGAUUCCUGUACCCGUAUAUAUGUGAAGGAAUGACGGAGAGAGGAAGCUGCAGCCAGCGGCUGGAAGAGCUGGUGCAAGCGAGAUAUCGGGAUGGCAGGCAAAUCCACCAUCCGAAACGAGAAGGCGUGAAGCGUACGGAAAGCUACGGCGAGUACGGAAGGCAGUGGAGGAACUUCCAAGAAAAGUUUCUAACGUUAAGUAUAUAUGGCCCGUACCGAAAAUGGACACACAUGGGUGAGGAGAGAAUCCUAAGGUGAGCGAGAGAACUAUAGCUAAGGAACUCUGCAAAAUGACUCCGUAACUUAGGGAGAAGGAGUGCUCAUAGAGAUAUGAGCCGCAGUGAAACGGCCCAAGCGACUGUUUACCAAAAACACAGCUCUCUGCUAAGCCGCAAGGCGAAGUAUAGGGGGUGACGCCUGCCCGGUGCUGGAAGGUUAAGGGGAGGGGUUAACGCAAGUGAAGCCCUGAACUGAAGCCCCAGUAAACGGCGGCCGUAACUAUAACGGUCCUAAGGUAGCGAAAUUCCUUGUCAGGUAAGUUCUGACCCGCACGAAAGGCGUAACGAUUUGGGCGCUGUCUCAGCUGUAGACUCGGUGAAGUCUUAGUACCUGUGAAGAUGCAGGUUACCCGCGACUAGACGGAAAGACCCCAUGGAGCUUCACUGCAGGUUGAUAUUGGGAUUUGAUGCAGCAUGUACAGGAUAGGUAGGAGGCAAAGAGAUGGAUACGCCAGUAUUCAAGGAGCCGCUGUUGGGAUACUACCCCUGUUGUAUUGGAUUUCUAACCGGACGACGUAGAGCCGUUGACGGGACAGUGUCAGUCGGGCAGUUUGACUGGGGCGGUCGCCUCCCAAAGAGUAACGGAGGCGCCCAAAGAUACCCUCAGCUUGGAUGGAAACCAAGCGCAGAGUGCAAAGGCAAAAGGGUGUUUGACUGCGAGACCCACAAGUCGAGCAGGGACGAAAGUCGGGCUUAGUGAUCCGGCGGUGCUGAAUGGAAAGGCCGUCGCUCAACGGAUAAAAGCUACCCUGGGGAUAACAGGCUGAUCUCCCCCAA